ACACUAAACCUAAUUCAUAUCUCUCCCGCAGCCAACUCUGAACUCUCUCUUGUGCGACUCAAAGGCGAUUUCGUUUACCCGUGAGACCAACUCCGACUCACCGUCUUUUCUUCAUCGUUUCUUCUCGCCUUCUCUUAAUCUCUUCUUCUGUUACUCUUCUUCGUCGUCUAGCAUCGAAAUCAUGCUUGAGAAAUCCGGAAAACGAACGCUUUGGUGAAACCCUAAUUGCGAAAAUCCAAAAGUUUGCGGUAUUGUGCAAGGAUCUUACACGCAAGGAUCUUAAUCGCUUGUAGUUUGAGAAGAUCUGGUCGUUUUAGAUGUCUUUGCGAAUAACAAGUUUUGUCGCCAACCAUGACCGCCGACGUCGCCAACCAUGACCGCCGCCGUCGCCAUUAACAAUGUGUGGAAACCCUAAUUGUUAAUGGGCUGGACUGGGAUGGGCUUGUUAUUUUGUUAUUCUAAUUUGUUAUAUUUGGGUUUGUAAUUUAGUUUUCUUGGGUUUGUAUUUAAUUUAGUUUUAUUUCAGCCCAUUAUUUGUAUUCUGGCUUAAUUCGGUUUAAAUAAACCGAAUUAGAAAAAAAUUCGGUUAAUUUCGGAAUAGAAUUUAAAACAGAUACCCGAA
This is a long non-coding RNA of Arabidopsis lyrata subsp. lyrata, 622 nucleotides long. RefSeq lists it as uncharacterized. The transcript is spliced from 3 exons. NCBI's taxonomy places the organism in Eukaryota, Viridiplantae, Streptophyta, Magnoliopsida, Brassicales, Brassicaceae. The record is from RefSeq and is a predicted model, not a curated record.